AGUGAACGCUGGCGGUAGGCCUAACACAUGCAAGUCGAACGGCAGCACAGUAAGAGCUUGCUCUUACGGGUGGCGAGUGGCGGACGGGUGAGGAAUACAUCGGAAUCUACUUUUUCGUGGGGGAUAACGUAGGGAAACUUACGCUAAUACAGCAUACGACCUACGGGUGAAAGCAGGGGAUCUUCGGACCUUGCGCGAGUGAAUGAGCCGAUGUCGGAUUAGCUAGUUGGCGGGGUAAAGGCCCACCAAGGCGACGAUCCGUAGCUGGUCUGAGAGGAUGAUCAGCCACACUGGAACUGAGACACGGUCCAGACUCCUACGGGACGCAGCAGUGGGGAAUAUUGGACAAUGGGCGCAAGCCUGAUCCAGCCAUACCGCGUGUGUGUAGAAGGCCUUCGGGUUGUAAAGCCCUUUUGUUGGGAAAGAAAAGCAGCAGGUUAAUACCCCGCUGUUCUGACGGUACCCAAAGAAUAAGCACCGGCUAACUUCGUG
RNAcentral lists this ribosomal RNA (492 nucleotides) under uncultured bacterium. Its description in RNAcentral is "partial 16S ribosomal RNA". It matches the Rfam family "Bacterial small subunit ribosomal RNA", at positions 29 to 507 of the family's 1533-position model. The record is from RNAcentral.